RNAcentral lists this unclassified non-coding RNA (229 nucleotides) under uncultured fungus. Its description in RNAcentral is "sequence contains ITS1, 5.8S rRNA gene". The stretch from base 181 to 229 matches the Rfam family "5.8S ribosomal RNA", at positions 1 to 49 of the family's 154-position model. Lineage: Eukaryota; Fungi. The record is from RNAcentral.
UCUCCGUAGGUGAACCUGCGGAGGGAUCAUUACUGAGUGAGGGCUCACGCCCGACCUCCAACCCUUUUGUGAACCACCUCGUUGCUUCGGGGGCGACCCUGCCGGCACUCUGUCGCCGGGCGCCCCCGAAGGUCUCCAAACACUGCAUCUUUGCGUCGGAGUUUAAAACAAAUUAAACAAAACUUUCAACAACGGAUCUCUUGGUUCUGGCAUCGAUGAAGAACGCAGC